CCUACGGGAGGCAGCAGUGAGGAAUAUUGGUCAAUGGACGAGAGUCUGAACCAGCCAAGUAGCGUGAAGGAUGACUGCCCUAUGGGUUGUACACUUCUUUUAUAUGGGAAUAAAAUGUUCCACGUGUGGGAUUUUGUAUGUACCAUUUGAAUAAGGAUCGGCUAACUCCGUGCCCUCAGCCGCGGUAAUACGGAGGAUCCGAGCGUUAUCCGGAUUUAUUGGGGUUAAAGGGAGCGUAGGUGGAUUGUUAAGUCAGUUGUGAAAGUUUGCGGCUCAAACGUAAAAUUGCAGUUGAAACUGGCAGUCUUGAGUACAGUAGAGGUGGGCGGAAUUCGUGGUGUAGCGGUGAAAUGCUUAGAUAUCACGAAGAACUCCGAUUGCGAAGGCAGUUCACUGGACUGCAACUGACACUGAGGCUCGAUAGUGUGGGUAUCAAACAGGAUUAGAUACCCUGGUAGUC
Molecule: ribosomal RNA, 460 nt
Filed under: uncultured bacterium
Lineage: Bacteria
Description: partial 16S ribosomal RNA
Rfam family: Bacterial small subunit ribosomal RNA
Source: RNAcentral